GUCACUCAUGACUGUCAUCGCUGACAUCCAAAAUCAUUUAGAUUUUCAUUUUUGAUCAUUGAUCAUGUUUAUCUUAUAUUUUUGAUAAUUUUUUUAUUUUUUUACGGGAGGAACCCGUCAGAAAUGGUGACAGGCUCACGCAUUUCGAUCCACGUCAGACUUUCAAGAGGGGCCCAGCUUCGACUUCUUCAAAUAACAAACACCAAUAACAUCCGUUGUGAAUAAUAAGUGUUUUAUUCUCCUAAUUGGAGACAAAAUAUUGAAUUGUCUAACGCAAAUGUAAAUAAAGAAUCUUCAGGAUGUUGACAAAUUA
This is a long non-coding RNA of Bradysia coprophila, 313 nucleotides long. RefSeq lists it as uncharacterized. The record is from RefSeq and is a predicted model, not a curated record. Lineage: Eukaryota; Metazoa; Arthropoda; Insecta; Diptera; Sciaridae.